AAUUUUGGACAAUGGGGGAAACCCUGAUCCAGCCAUCCCGCGUGUAUGAUGAAGGCCUUCGGGUUGUAAAGUACUUUUGGCAGAGAAGAAAAGGUAUCUCCUAAUACGAGAUAAUGCUGACGGUAUCUGCAGACUUAGCACCGGCUAACUACGUGCCAGCAGCCGCGGUAAUCAGUAGGGUUCAAGCGUGAAUCGGAAUUACUGGGCGUAAAGCAUGUGUAGGCGGUUCGGAAAUAAGGAUGUGAAAUCCCAGGGCUCAACCUUGGAACUGCAUUUUUAACUGCCGAGCUAGAGGAUGUCAGAGGGGGGUAGAAUUCCAAGUGUAGCAGUGAAAUGCGUAGAUAUGUGGAGGGAUAACGAUGGCGAAGGCAGCCCCCUGGGAUAAUACUGACGCUCAGACACGGAAGCGUGGGGAGCAAACA
This 422-nucleotide ribosomal RNA is filed under the name uncultured bacterium. RNAcentral describes it as "partial 16S ribosomal RNA". It matches the Rfam family "Bacterial small subunit ribosomal RNA", at positions 360 to 774 of the family's 1533-position model. The record is from RNAcentral.